Molecule: transfer RNA, 43 nt
Filed under: Massicus raddei
Lineage: Eukaryota; Metazoa; Arthropoda; Insecta; Coleoptera; Cerambycidae
Description: partial tRNA-Leu
Source: RNAcentral
UUGGAUUUAAACCCCAAAUAUAAAGGUUAAACUUUUUUUAGAA